Molecule: RNase P RNA, 352 nt
Filed under: Marinobacter oulmenensis
Lineage: Bacteria; Pseudomonadati; Pseudomonadota; Gammaproteobacteria; Pseudomonadales; Marinobacteraceae
Description: RNase P RNA component class A
Rfam family: Bacterial RNase P class A
About the family: Ribonuclease P (RNase P) is a ubiquitous endoribonuclease, found in archaea, bacteria and eukarya as well as chloroplasts and mitochondria.
Source: RNAcentral
CGAGCUCGCCAGACAGUCGCCGCCGGUUUCGGCCGGGGGAGGAAAGUCCGGGCUCCACAGGGCAAGGUGCCAGGUAACGCCUGGGCGGCGCGAGCCGACGGAAAGUGCAACAGAAAGCAUACCGCCUAAGCGCCUUCGGGCGCCGGUAAGGGUGAAACGGUGCGGUAAGAGCGCACCGCGUGGCUGGCAACAGUCCACGGCGAUGGUAAACCCCACCUGGAGCAAGGCCAAAUAGGAGUCCGAUGGCGUGGCCCGCGCUGGACUCGGGUAGGUCGCUUGAGGUCUGUGGUGACGCAGACCCUAGAUGAAUGACUGUCCAAGACAGAACCCGGCUUACCGGCGAGCUCGAUUU